GAUGAAGAACGUAGCGAAAUGCGAUAAGUAAUGCGAAUUGCAGAAUUCCGUGAGUCAUCGAAUCUUUGAACGCACAUUGCGCCCCCUGGCAUUCCGGGGGGCAUGCCUGUUCGAGCGUCAUUUCACCACUCAAGCCUCGCUUGGUAUUGGGCAACGCGGUCCGCCGCGUGCCUCAAAUCGACCGGCUGGGUCUUCUGUCCCCUAAGCGUUGUGGAAACUAUUCGCUAAAGGGUGUUCGGGAGGCUACGCCGUAAAACAACCCCAUUUCUAAGGUUGACCUCGGAUCAGGUAGGGAUACCCGCUGAACUUAAGCAUAUCGAUAAGCGGAGGA
Molecule: unclassified non-coding RNA, 331 nt
Filed under: soil metagenome
Description: partial contains 5.8S ribosomal RNA, internal transcribed spacer 2, and large subunit ribosomal RNA
Rfam family: 5.8S ribosomal RNA (bases 1-120)
Source: RNAcentral